AACGAACGCUGGCGGCAUGCCUAACACAUGCAAGUCGAACGAGACCUUCGGGUCUAGUGGCGCACGGGUGCGUAACGCGUGGGAACCUGCCCUUAGGUUCGGAAUAACUCCCCGAAAGGGGUGCUAAUACCGGAUAAUGUCUUCGGACGAAAGAUUUAUCGCCUUUGGAUGGGCCCGCGUUGGAUUAGCUAGUUGGUAGGGUAAAAGCCUACCAAGGCGACGAUCCAUAGCUGGUCUGAGAGGAUGAUCAGCCACACUGGGACUGAGACACGGCCCAGACUCCUACGGGAGGCAGCAGUGGGGAAUAUUGGACAAUGGGCGGAGGCCUGAUCCAGCAAUGCCGCGUGAGUGAUGAAGGCCUUAGGGUUGUAAAGCUCUUUUACCCGGGAUGAUAAUGACAGUACCGGGAGAAUAAGCUCCGGCUAACUCCGUG
RNAcentral lists this ribosomal RNA (433 nucleotides) under uncultured bacterium. RNAcentral describes it as "partial 16S ribosomal RNA". It matches the Rfam family "Bacterial small subunit ribosomal RNA", at positions 29 to 507 of the family's 1533-position model. The record is from RNAcentral.